This is an RNA transcript of Harpegnathos saltator (Jerdon's jumping ant), 974 nucleotides long. It is a transcript of the gene named flavin reductase (NADPH), with no coding region annotated. Lineage: Eukaryota; Metazoa; Arthropoda; Insecta; Hymenoptera; Formicidae. The transcript is spliced from 6 exons. The record is from RefSeq and is a predicted model, not a curated record.
AAUAUCGGAACGCAGUCUACGAAUACGGCCCUAGAAGUUCUCCGAAAAAGAACAGACCUAUUUUCGAACGUUGCCGUUUUUGUCGACACAUACAGAGCUAUAACCUAUCGACACAAUUGCAUACUCAUUGACAACGUGUUCUAGACGGCAUUUAAAGAUGAUUCGAUAUUAUUUUUUCUUGUGACAAUGAUAUAAUACGUUCACGCACGACACAGUAACCGAUAAAUAGCGAAAUGAAGCGGAUUAUUAUAUUCGGCGCUACUGGAAACACAGGCUUGUGUGUUCUGAGAUCGGCUGUAGAAGAUGGUUUAAAAGUACGAGCUUUUAUAAGGAAUACAGCUAAAGUUCCUGAAGAUCUUAAAAAUAGAAUUGAGUCGAUCGUUGGAGAUGUUACUAAUGCAGAUCAAGUUAUGAAAGCAAUAGCUGGUACAGAUGCUGUUGUAGUAGCACUAGGAACAAGAAAUGAUCUAAGUCCUACUACUGUUUUAUCAUGUGGUCUGAAGAAUAUAAUAAGUGCUAUGAAAGCAUAUAAUGUUGAAUUAGUCUCUGUAUGUCUAUCAGCGACGUUAGAAAUAAUACAAGGAAUAUGGCUGAACAAUUUGAUGAUGAUAUAUUACAUUAACGAGGCAAUAUUUCUCAUGUUCCAAAAUUAUAUUGUACGUGACAUGCUGCAAUGCCCGCAUUUUUAUUCUACAAACCUGAAGCAAUACCUGCGAUAUUUAAAGAUCUGAAUGAAGAUCAUCAACGUAUGUUCGACAUGAUCAAAACAAGUGGUCUAAAAUGGGUGGCAGUAUUACCGCCGCAUAUAGCCGAUACACCUAAAUCGAAAUACACGGUCACAUUUGAUUCUUCACUUGGCCGCGUAAUCUCUAAACAUGAUUUAGGCAUGUUUCUCAUCGAAUGUCUCAAAAAUCCUGAAUAUCAUCAGAAAGUAUGCGGUAUUGCAUCUGUAGUAUGAUAAUAUGAAAGAACAU